GUGGGGAAUAUUGGACAAUGGGCGCAAGCCUGAUCCAGUCAUGCCGCGUGAGUGAUGAAGGCCUUAGGGUUGUAAAGCUCUUUCAGUAGGGAAGAUAAUGACGGUACCUACAGAAGAAGCCCCGGCUAACUUCGUGCCAGCAGCCGCGGUAAUACGAAGGGGGCUAGCGUUGUUCGGAUUUACUGGGCGUAAAGCGCACGUAGGCGGAUUGGUCAGUUAGAGGUGAAAUCCCGAAGCUCAACUUCGGAACUGCCUUUAAUACUGCCAGUCUCGAGUCCGGAAGAGGUGAGUGGAACUCCUAGUGUAGAGGUGGAAUUCGUAGAUAUUAGGAAGAACACCAGUGGCGAAGGCGGCUCACUGGUCCGGUACUGACGCUGAGGUGCGAAAGCGUGGGGAGCAAACAGGAUUAGAAACCCGAGUAGUCC
Molecule: ribosomal RNA, 425 nt
Filed under: uncultured bacterium
Lineage: Bacteria
Description: partial 16S ribosomal RNA
Rfam family: Bacterial small subunit ribosomal RNA
Source: RNAcentral